AGACCCAAAAGUUCCCCCAACAACUUUUUUACACUCCUUCCAUCACUCAGUCCAAAAUUAGAACUCCUCCCUCGUUUCUCUCCCACUCCUCCCAAAUAAACCCUAGUAACUAGUAUUGCAAUUUCCUCUCUCCGUCUCCGUCUCCGUCUCCCUCUUAUCGAUAUGGCGCGGAUCGUUAGUCGUUGUAGCUUGUGACUCCCUCGUCUCGACUCUCGAUCGGAAGCCUCUGGUCUCUAAUGAAGCUUCAGAGGAGUUCAACAAUCUCUAUCUUCAAACAAAAUUCAGCAAGAUCGUUUUGAUUUUUCUCUCAUUUUCGUUAUUUUUUGUUUAUUUGUUAUUGUAGUAUAUAUAUAUAUAGUGCUCUAAGGAUUAGUUUGAUUUGUGGUUGAGAUUUGAUUGGCUGAAGCAAGAGCCAUCUGUCGAGCAGAGUUUUAUUUGUUGAGAUUUAGGGUAUGUUUCAUGGUUUUGGUAUUUAGCAUUAGCACUACUUCUUACUACUUUUUCAGAGUACUUUGUUAUUUGUUUUUGAUGUUUCUCUGUUGUGUCAUGUUUGUCCAGCCUGAAUUUUGCAUUUUGUGAAUUAGAGUUGCUGUUUGAUUAGUUGUGUCUUUCUUGUCUUGGUGGUAGUAGUGAUGAUUGGUAUGCAUAUGUUAUUGUGUGUAGGAAAAAUUUACUCUCACGUGGGUAGAUAUUGAUAAUAAACUAGAAAAAAGACUCAUAGAAGCAUAGACAUAUAUCUAUUACCAACUUGACUGAAGAAAAUUUAAUUUGAAGUACUUUUUUCUUGAUAAGUAAUGCAAAAAAAUGUAGAACUAGCCUAUGCUUUCUAAGUAAAUUCAUGACCACUCAAUAUCACUAUGCAAUUUUCUCUGUUAAUUUCUUUUCCGUUAGUUUUCUUUUGGCUUUAACUUGUACAAAAAUUUCUGAAGGCUUUAACUUGUACAAAAGUUUCUGAUAGAGUUGUUGCUCUAGUAUGGAUGCAAUUAGCUUUUCUUUUUCCUUGUAGCUUCAUUGAUAGCUCUGAUGAUGUAGCUCCAGCUUCAUUAAUCGUCCUAAAUUUUUAAAAGAUGAUUUUUUUCUUGGAAAAACAGAGCUUUUGCUUCCAGUUGAGCAGAGAGAUACAUGUUUUAAUUAUAUAGCAACUGAUUGCGGACUCAAAGAAGAUACACAAAGGCUAUGAACUGUCCACAUGCUAUAAUUCCAUGUCAGAGAUCAAUCACUGGAAAGUAAGCUUUUUUUAUCUUUUACCUUCAAGUUUUUCCUUUUUGACAUUAUUAUAUGAACUGCUCAUAUCCUCAUCCCUAAAAUUGUAAUUUUGCUUCAAGGAAAUACAUUUCCAAUCCCGAGACAGUUGUAGUGGAACAAAUAAAAUUUAGUUUACUUCUAGAAAAUAUACUACCGAAGCAAGAUAUACUAGGAUCAAGUAUAACUUUAAACUCUAUUAAGGUAGUAUUGUGUCAGCAUUCUUGCUUCUUCGUUGCUUUGCUGCUUUUAUUUGGUUUUUCUAUCUCUUUCUUUUUUCUUUUUGGUUGUUCAAUUAUGAUCAUAACCUGAUGUGAUUAUGAUGGAAAAAUCUCUUACAUUAGGUAGAUUUUGGAGACAAGGCAGCUUAAACUGGUAGAUACAAUCAAGCAUUUUCUUCUGUUUUUGUGUUUGCGGAAUGAAAGGUAUGAAUCAUUGACGCUAAUGUUUUUGCCGAUUUGGUAUGUUUUUUUUAUCAUAUACGCUGAACCAAAAGUAAAUAAUAUUUGGGUCGAAUUAGUUUUCACACUUUCUAUAUAUUUUUUCUAUUCAAUUUCAAUCUGCGUCAGUGUUUUUGCAUUCGAUUUAUGUACUUUUGGUCUUUUAAUUCUAUUUCUGCCUCCUCUUCGUCAUCUUUAAUUUUGUGGAAAGCUAGUUGUAAUAAGGGCUUGAGGUUAUUAGCAUAUGCCGAUAUGAGAAACUUAUCUGUUACCUUAUAUGAUAUAAAAUUUUUAUUUGACCUUCAAAAAUGUUGGAAAAAAUAAUCGCCAAAAGUGAAUUGUAAUAAUAGAAACAUGAUUUGGUAGUAUUUUUAUCUGACACUAGCACACAUUCAUUCUCUAGCUUUGAGGUUCAUUAGCCAAUGAUUUACACAAUCUUAAAUUAAUAUACUGUGUGUUCACUUUGUUUGCUUGCAUCAUGAAAGUUGAAAGGUGUGCUCUUUAUCUAGGUAGAGUCGAGUCAUAUAAUGUAUGUGUCGGUUUGAUAUUUCUCCUAGGUGUUGCUUCACUAUAGGUGGAUAGGUAGCGUAUAAAAAGAUUUACUAGGCCGUGCAUACCCAUGGAUCCAAUUUAACCAUCUUGGUUGAAUUUGGAUGAGCUUUUCACUACCUAGAUGUGCAUAUGUUGUAGUGAAGCCUUACAAGCUCAUCCCCAAAUAUAGAUUAUCAUAUUCAUGGGCACCAAUAAGUUUUACCAAUUAUUCGAGUCCUACACAUUUAAUUUUUUUUUGGUGAUGCUCGGUACCACAUUGACGAUGUACUUGUACAUCAUUACUUCAAUUCGAGUAACAAAAACAUAUGUAAGAAAGAUUGGACAGUAACACAUGUUGCUAUGUGGAAGCUGCUCGUUAUGGGGUUCUUAUUCAAUUUAUUUUUGGUGCAGCAAGCAUGUACUACAACUUCAAUUUAGUGUUAGACAUUCUUGAGAUAAUGCAGGUAUGUCUCAGUUAUGAAAUUUUCGUGCUCGAACUUUUUUCUUCCUAGCACUAGCUAAGAGAAAAUGAAGAACAUAGUUGAUAUACGAUAUGUGGAUGAAUAUCAUGUCAAAUCAUGCUUAUUCCUAUUUUUUUAGCCUAAUCUUAAUAAUAGAACAGUUUCAAGCAUACUUUCCCAAUUUUAUGUGGUUGGUGCACGAUUUGCUUUAGUUUAGUUUAGUUCAUACCACAAGAAUAUUGAUAUCAUGAAUCAUAAUAACGUCUAUGUGAUAACAAGUCUUUUUGACAUUUUAUUUGUGUCUAUUACAGUUGGUAAUUGAAAAAAUCCACUCAUGCUGAAUGAGUCAUUUCUUGCCUUCUUAUAUUCCAAUCGAAAAUUGCAAAGUGUGAGUGCACAUUAUAAUGCUUAUCAGUGUGCAAUGAAAAAGUUCAAUUUUUGGCACUUUAGGGAGGAGAAUUUCUUGUUUGUUUUGGUACUGACAAUUAAUCCUCUUUGCUUCUUCCAUGCUUCUAUAUUAUAUUAUUUUCAGGUAUGGUACUUGACUAAUACCAAGUGAGAUUCAUAUUGGUGAAAACUUAAUCUUAAAUAACACCCAAGAUACUGAUGUGAGAGAUGUAAGUGUUCGUUUUAUCAUGAUUUUGUUUCUUAGUUUUCAUUUAUUCGCACCUCUAUUUAUCUUCUAGACAAACGAAUCUACUCUUACCGAAGCAUUUACUUCAUGGCUCUAUAAUCCUUUGUAACCAAUAUAUUGGGUCCCGUGUUGUGCACGGGUUGCACCUAUCUAGUGUAAUUUAGAAUAAAAAGUUCUCUUAUGUUUGCGGCAGGACUAAUCUUGUUAUUACUUGUUGCUUAUUGGUUUGUUUAAUUUUGUAGGCUCAAAAUGUAAGAAGUAUGUCCCAUCACCUGAAAACCCAACAAGGAUCACCAAUUGGAAGUAACACACUAUAUUUAUGCGAGUGCUCGAUGAACUUUUUUUUAGGAUUUGUUAUAGCUAUUUCCCUUUUAUUGAGUGGAUGUAAAGUACUACGCAAAAUUUUAAUAGAUUUUAUGAUAUAAUUUUGAAGUGCUGAAGUUAUUUAUAUACAAUGAAUGAUUUACUUAUUGAACAUUUCUCUUAUCUGAUUCUUGAUUGUCGAAUUGUGAAACAUUGGAACAAGCUUUUUGAUAAAUUAGGUAAGGUGUCGAACUAGAAUGAAAAGAAAUGUAGAAGAAAAUAAGCAGCACUUUAAAAUUGUCAUAUAUAAAUAAUGGCUUAAUGUAUG
RNAcentral lists this long non-coding RNA (3939 nucleotides) under Nicotiana benthamiana. RNAcentral describes it as "long non-coding RNA (NBEN_LNC017105)". Lineage: Eukaryota; Viridiplantae; Streptophyta; Magnoliopsida; Solanales; Solanaceae. The record is from RNAcentral.